UUAGUAACGCGUGGGAACGUGCCCUUCUCUACGGAAUAGCCUCUGGAAACGGAGAGUAAUACCGUAUACGCCCUUUGGGGGAAAGAUUUAUCGGAGAAGGAUCGGCCCGCGUUAGAUUAGGUAGUUGGUGGGGUAACGGCCUACCAAGCCUACGAUCUAUAGCUGGUUUUAGAGGAUGAUCAGCAACACUGGGACUGAGACACGGCCCAGACUCCUACGGUAGGCAGCAGUGGGGAAUCUUAGACAAUGGGGGCAACCCUGAUCUAGCCAUGCCGCGUGAGUGAUGAAGGCCUUAGGGUCGUAAAGCUCUUUCGCCUGUGAUGAUAAUGACAGUAGCAGGUAAAGAAACCCCGGCUAACUCCGUG
This 365-nucleotide ribosomal RNA is filed under the name uncultured bacterium. RNAcentral describes it as "bacterial SSU rRNA". It matches the Rfam family "Bacterial small subunit ribosomal RNA", at positions 107 to 507 of the family's 1533-position model. The record is from RNAcentral.